This 934-nucleotide long non-coding RNA is filed under the name Homo sapiens (human). RNAcentral's name for it is "non-protein coding lnc-CREB3L1-2:5". The record is from RNAcentral. Lineage: Eukaryota; Metazoa; Chordata; Mammalia; Primates; Hominidae.
GAAGGAUGUGUUUGCUUCUCCUUCCACCAUGAUUGUAAGUUUCCUGAGGCCUCCCCAGCCAUGCUCAACUGCUGUUCUGAUCAUGAUCAAGCCCAAGACAGAGCGAUGGGCGUGGCUUCCCCAAAGGUGUUUAUGAAUCCAAAAUCUGAGAGAGAGAAGACAAGAUGAAGUCACAGUCUAGUCAUUGCCUCAACACCAGUCAUUCCUACUCCCACCCAGACAACAUCAUCUCCACUCCCAAGCCCGAAAUGCUCCCUGCCAUGCCUUCGAGGCUGAGGUCUGGGAAGAAAACUCUAAGAAGAGAGAAAAGGGCACCAGUAUGGAGACCCUAGAAUAUAAAAAGCAGACUUAGCCUGUCUAACCUGUUCCUUGACUUGGCCAUGAUCCCAGGAAUGGAGGAAGGAUCUUCCUUUUCUUCCUCCUCCUGGAGAGGCAUCAGAGCAUGGGCCCUGGCUCUGUUACUCCCUGGCUGGGGAAGUUACUUACCUACUCCGUGUCUCAGUUUUACUUAUCUCUAAAAGGGGUAGAGUAACAGCACUCACUGGAGUGGAGUGUGGUUAUGCCUCCCAGCCUCUCCUUCAGAACUAGGUUACUUAUUCCCUCAGCUGCAAGGAGUGUUAGCUGCGGACUGCUCACAACGGAGUCUCUUCUAGGGAUUGCCCUCAACCGAAGGAAGCUGCAUUGCCCAAGAUGAGAUCCCCUCGCUGGGGCAUCCUGCAUCCAAUGACAAGUCAGUGGGGCGUACGAAGGCCUGGCUUCCUCAUCUCGAUUGGACAUCUCCAAAGGGCCAUCCCAGUUUCUGAUCUCCCCGUAGAAUCUCCUGAAGCCUCUGUUGUGACUGCAUCAGAGCCCAACCUCUCUCUCUACCCAAUCCAGUCUCCUUUCCUUCUCACAGGUGUUGUUCCCAAAACUCAGUAAACUGCCUACACGCAAA